AUACAGAGGGUGCGAGCGUUAAUCGGAUUCACUGGGCGUAAAGCGUGCGUAGGUGGUUCAGUAAGUUGGAAGUGAAAGCCCCGGGCUCAACCUGGGAACUGCUUUCAAAACUGCUGAGCUAGAGUACGGUAGAGGGUAGUGGAAUUUCCUGUGUAGCGGUGAAAUGCGUAGAUAUAGGAAGGAACACCAGUGGCGAAGGCGACUACCUGGACUGAUACUGACACUGAGGUGCGAAAGCGUGGGGAGCAAACAGG
Molecule: ribosomal RNA, 254 nt
Filed under: uncultured Pseudomonadaceae bacterium
Lineage: Bacteria; Pseudomonadati; Pseudomonadota; Gammaproteobacteria; Pseudomonadales; Pseudomonadaceae
Description: partial 16S ribosomal RNA
Rfam family: Bacterial small subunit ribosomal RNA
Source: RNAcentral